GUGCCUGUAGCUCAGUUGGCAGAGCACUGGAUUGUGGCUCCAGGUGUCGUGGGUUCAAAUCCCUCCAGGCACCCCA
Molecule: transfer RNA, 76 nt
Filed under: Myxococcota bacterium
Lineage: Bacteria; Pseudomonadati; Myxococcota
Description: tRNA-His
Rfam family: tRNA
About the family: Transfer RNA (tRNA) molecules are approximately 80 nucleotides in length.
Source: RNAcentral